Molecule: ribosomal RNA, 497 nt
Filed under: uncultured bacterium
Lineage: Bacteria
Description: partial 16S ribosomal RNA
Rfam family: Bacterial small subunit ribosomal RNA
Source: RNAcentral
GAUGAACGCUGGCGGCGUGCCUAAUACAUGCAAGUCGAGCGAACGGACGAGAAGCUUGCUUCUCUGAUGUUAGCGGCGGACGGGUGAGUAACACGUGGAUAACCUACCUAUAAGACUGGGAUAACUUCGGGAAACCGGAGCUAAUACCGGAUGAUAUUUUGAACCGCAUGGUUCAAAAGUGAAAGACGGUCUUGCUGUCACUUAUAGAUGGAUCCGCGCUGCAUUAGCUAGUUGGUAAGGUAAUGGCUUACCAAGGCAACGAUGCAUAGCCGACCUGAGAGGGUGAUCGGCCACACUGGAACUGAGACACGGUCCAGACGCCUACGGGAGGCAGCAGUAGGGAAUCUUCCGCAAUGGGCGAAAGCCUGACGGAGCAACGCCGCGUGAGUGAUGAAGGUCUUCGGAUCGUAAAACUCUGUUAUUAGGGAAGAACAUAUGUGUAAGUAACUGUGCACAUCUUGACGGUACCUAAUCAGAAAGCCACGGCUAACUACGUG